RNAcentral lists this ribosomal RNA (272 nucleotides) under Escherichia coli. RNAcentral's name for it is "partial 23S ribosomal RNA". It matches the Rfam family "Bacterial large subunit ribosomal RNA", at positions 64 to 372 of the family's 2925-position model. The record is from RNAcentral. Lineage: Bacteria; Pseudomonadati; Pseudomonadota; Gammaproteobacteria; Enterobacterales; Enterobacteriaceae.
AUCUGCGAUAAGCGUCGGUAAGGUGAUAUGAACCGUUAUAACCGGCGAUUUCCGAAUGGGGAAACCCAGUGUGUUUCGACACACUAUCAUUAACUGAAUCCAUAGGUUAAUGAGGCGAACCGGGGGAACUGAAACAUCUAAGUACCCCGAGGAAAAGAAAUCAACCGAGAUUCCCCCAGUAGCGGCGAGCGAACGGGGAGCAGCCCAGAGCCUGAAUCAGUGUGUGUGUUAGUGGAAGCGUCUGGAAAGGCGCGCGAUACAGGGUGACAGCC